Molecule: non-coding RNA, 74 nt
Organism: Culex pipiens (northern house mosquito)
Lineage: Eukaryota; Metazoa; Arthropoda; Insecta; Diptera; Culicidae
Source: Rfam
GGCUCCGUGGCUUAAUGGUUACGGCUUCUGCCUCACAAGCAGAAGGUUCAGGGAACAAACCCCGGUCGGUACCC